This 408-nucleotide ribosomal RNA is filed under the name bacterium enrichment culture clone ALO1_GLFRUDD03HEU2N. RNAcentral's name for it is "bacterial SSU rRNA". It matches the Rfam family "Bacterial small subunit ribosomal RNA", at positions 9 to 417 of the family's 1533-position model. The record is from RNAcentral.
GAGUUUGAUCCUGGCUCAGAUUGAACGCUGGCGGCAUGCCUUACACAUGCAAGUCGAGCGGCAGCACGGGAGCUUGCUCCUGGUGGCGAGUGGCGAACGGGUGAGUAAUGCAUCGGAACGUAUCCUGGAGUGGGGGAUAACGUAGCGAAAGUUACGCUAAUACCGCAUAUUCUGUGAGCAGGAAAGCGGGGGACCUUUCGGGCCUCGCGCGUCUUGGAGCGGCCGAUGUCGGAUUAGCUAGUUGGUGAGGUAAAGGCUCACCAAGGCGACGAUCCGUAGCAGGUCUGAGAGGAUGAUCUGCCACACUGGAACUGAGACACGGUCCAGACUCCUACGGAGGCAGCAGUGGGAAUUUUGGACAAUGGGGGCAACCCUGAUCCAGCCAUGCCGCGUGAGUGAAGAAGGCCU